UUUAGAGUUUGAUUCCUGGCUCAGGACGAACGCUGGCGGCGUGCCUAACACAUGCAAGUCGUACGGGCCUGGGGGCAACUCCAGGUCAGUGGCGGACGGGUGCGUAACACGUAAGCAACGUAUCCGACGGUGGGGGAUAGCCGGCCCAACGGCCGGGUAAUACCGCAUGCAGUGGCCUGGGGCAUCCCGGGUCAUCAAAGCCGGGGCAACCUGGCGCCGACGGAGCGGCUUGCGGCCUAUCAGCUAGUUGGUGAGGUCACGGCUCACCAAGGCGACGACGGGUAGCUGGUGUGAGAGGAUGACCAGCCACAUUGGGACUGAGACACGGCCCAGACUCCUACGGGAGGCAGCAGUGGGGAAUCUUGCGCAAUGGGCGAAUGCCUGACGCAGCGACGCCGCGUGUGGGAUGAAGGUCUUCGGAUCGUAAACCACUGUCGGGAGGGACGAAGGCCCGGGGUUCACUGCCACCGGGAUUGACGUACCUCCAAAGAAGCACCGGCA
Molecule: ribosomal RNA, 501 nt
Filed under: uncultured bacterium
Lineage: Bacteria
Description: bacterial SSU rRNA
Rfam family: Bacterial small subunit ribosomal RNA
Source: RNAcentral